RNAcentral lists this ribosomal RNA (508 nucleotides) under uncultured bacterium. Its description in RNAcentral is "partial 16S ribosomal RNA". It matches the Rfam family "Bacterial small subunit ribosomal RNA", at positions 28 to 523 of the family's 1533-position model. The record is from RNAcentral.
GAUGAACGCUAGCUACAGGCUUAACACAUGCAAGUCGAGGGGAAACGAUAUUGGAAGCUUGCUUCCGAUAGGCGUCGACCGGCGCACGGGUGAGUAACGCGUAUCCAUCCUGCCCAUCACUUGGGGAUAACCUUGCGAAAGUAAGACUAAUACCCAAUGAUAUCUCUAGAAGACAUCUGAAGGAGAUUAAAGAUUUAUCGGUGAUGGAUGGGGAUGCGUCUGAUUAGCUUGUUGGCGGGGUAACGGCCCACCAAGGCGACGAUCAGUAGGGGUUCUGAGAGGAAGGUCCCCAACAUUGGAACUGAGACACGGUCCAAACUCCUACGGGAGGCAGCAGUGAGGAAUAUUGGUCAAUGGGCGAGAGCCUGAACCAGCCAAGUAGCGUGCAGGAUGACGGCCCUAUGGGUUGUAAACUGCUUUUAUAAGGGAAUAAAGUGAGUCUCGUGAGACUUUUUGCAUGUACCUUAUGAAUAAGGACCGGCUAAUUCCGUGCCAGCCGCCGCAGUAA